RNAcentral lists this ribosomal RNA (434 nucleotides) under uncultured bacterium. RNAcentral's name for it is "partial 16S ribosomal RNA". It matches the Rfam family "Bacterial small subunit ribosomal RNA", at positions 29 to 507 of the family's 1533-position model. The record is from RNAcentral.
AGCGAACGCUGGCGGCAGGCCUAACACAUGCAAGUCGAACGAACCUUUCGGGGUUAGUGGCGGACGGGUGAGUAACACGUGGGAACGUGCCUUUAGGUUCGGAAUAACUCAGGGAAACUUGUGCUAAUACCGAAUGUGCCAUUCGGGGGAAAGAUUAAUCGCCGUUAGAGCGGCCCGCGUUGGAUUAGCUAGUUGGUUGAGGUAAUGGCUCACCAAGGCGACGAUCAGUAGCUGGUCUGAGAGGAUGAUCAGCCACAUUGGGACUGAGACACGGCCCAAACUCCUACGGGAGGCAGCAGUGGGGAAUCUUGCGCAAUGGGCGAAAGCCUGACGCAGCCAUGCCGCGUGAAUGAUGAAGGUCUUAGGAUUGUAAAAUUCUUUCACCGGGGACGAUAAUGACGGUACCCGGAGAAGAAGCCCCGGCUAACUUCGUG